Molecule: ribosomal RNA, 227 nt
Filed under: uncultured bacterium
Lineage: Bacteria
Description: partial 16S ribosomal RNA
Rfam family: Bacterial small subunit ribosomal RNA
Source: RNAcentral
AGCGAACGCUGGCGGCAUGCUUAACACAUGCAAGUCGCACGGUCGGGGCAACCCGGCAGUGGCGGACGGGUGAGUAACGCGUAGGUAUCUAUCCUUGGGGUGGGGACGAACCGUGGAAACUACGGCUAAUACCGCAUGAUGUCUGAGGACCAAAGGCGCAAGUCGCCUGGGGAGGAGCCUGCGUACGAUUAGCUAGUUGGUGGGGUAAAGGCCUACCAAGGCGACGA